This is a non-coding RNA of Carica papaya (papaya), 1129 nucleotides long. Lineage: Eukaryota; Viridiplantae; Streptophyta; Magnoliopsida; Brassicales; Caricaceae. The record is from RefSeq and is a predicted model, not a curated record.
GAGGAUAGGAGCGGAACUGUUCUCAUUUUUGCCCCAGCUAAUGAACAUAUGGCAACAAGUUGUGGGAGGUUUCACCUUUCUGAACGUGCCUCACUCUCAGCUUCUUCAGUGUAUUUGGUUGCUUCUGCAUUGUGAAGCCAGGAGGCUGAAGUUCAGGUAGGUCUCUUCUCAUUUUUUCUUUAAUCCACCUGUUGCCUUGCAUUAGAAGUUUGGCUUCUGUAUGAUAGAUGAUGAUCAGGUUAUUUUACUGGUUUGUGUUAUCGCCCAGAAAUUUUUCAUGAAAAACUUAAUGUAUCUGAUUAUCAUAACUAGAUUAUUGCCGUUACUGAGGAAUCUCUCUAUAUCAUUUCAACCUGUUGACUUGUCUGUGGAAAACACUGGCAGAGAUGACACAAGCCUGAACUAGGGGAUUGAUUUUCUUUGGACUAUUGAUUGUUUUCCCAACUGGAAAUGGUUUGUAGCUAAUCACCAACAUUGUAUUCGGAGGCUUGCACCUGUCUUCAGGUUGAGUAAGUUACAUGAUCGAUUUCAUUGGCUGGGGAGAUGCACGAAUGCGCUUGUGAUGUGCAUGUGCUUUAGCUGUUAAGCUGUGUACCAAGGACGGCCUCAAGGUUGAUGAUUCUGUCAGCAUAAUAAUCUAAAGAAGCAUAAGAUGAAAAAAGAGGAAAAGAAGGAUAUUUUAUAUAUUUCUUUUUACAAAAUAUAAAGAAAUGAUGGAAGAACAUCUUCCAAUUUUUCUUACUCCUGGCGCUGGGAGGUAUUGUGCAGUGGAUAUCACAAACUAACAGGUUUAGGUGUUUUUAAAGAAACUAUAUUAUGUUGAAACUUAUUGUUCGAUUGGGUUUAUCUGAGUUGUUGAGGACUGCACGCUGCCAAGGACAGACUCCUAAAUCUGAAGUUGAUUUCUGUUGCCAGUUCUAGCUUAUUGUCAUCUCGCUGGAGGAGAUGAUGUUAAUCAUUUUGGGAGGCAUGUAUUGUCAUGCAGUUACGAGAUUCUCUAUUUAAUCUACAUUGGCUUAAGGUCCUUAGAACCUGUGCAAAAGAAUCCAAAUAUAAGGGUUCUUACCUUUGAAACGAAAACAUGUUAUUGUACAGUCUAAUUGUUAAAUGGUUGGUCUUCUGAUCUCAA